AUGAGAUAUGCCGAGUUGGGUAAUAAUGGAUGUAGGUGCAUUGUAUUUGUACCCUUGUGUGCGAAGAUUAUCCAUCCACCUCAUCCAUGUUUAAUUUUUUAUUUAUAUAAACCUAAUUUGACCAUCCGAGCGAGUAGUUACAAACUCUGGCCUACCUUGUUACUAACGUCUUCAAUUCAGGUUCAAUUACUAGCUUUUUUGCAUAAUUGUAUUUUAGGGUCCACCUCCCUCAUAGGUUGUAGUGGGUGCAUUACAGCAAAACAAAACAUGGUGGGAAUCCAAUAG
Vicia faba (fava bean) is the source of this 285-nucleotide non-coding RNA. The record is from the annotation of a GenBank genome assembly. NCBI's taxonomy places the organism in Eukaryota, Viridiplantae, Streptophyta, Magnoliopsida, Fabales, Fabaceae.